This 158-nucleotide small nuclear RNA is filed under the name Salvator merianae (Argentine black and white tegu). Its description in RNAcentral is "U2 spliceosomal RNA (ENSSMRG00000013745.1)". It matches the Rfam family "U2 spliceosomal RNA". From Rfam's summary of the family: U2 is a small nuclear RNA (snRNA) component of the spliceosome (involved in pre-mRNA splicing). Complementary binding between U2 snRNA (in an area lying towards the 5' end but 3' to hairpin I) and the branchpoint sequence (BPS) of the intron results the bulging out of an unpaired adenosine, on the BPS, which initiates a nucleophilic attack at the intronic 5' splice site, thus starting the first of two transesterification reactions that mediate splicing. The record is from RNAcentral. Lineage: Eukaryota; Metazoa; Chordata; Lepidosauria; Squamata; Teiidae.
AUCAUUUCCUGAUCUUUUGGCUAAGAUCAAGUGUGGUAUCUGAUCUUAUCUAUUUAAUAUCUGAUAUUUCCUCUAUUUGAGGAAUCUACAUUAAAAGAAAUUUUGGAAUCGGGAGAUGGAAUAGAGGCUUGCUCCAUCCACUUCAAUAAUAAUGAUAU